CAAUAGCGUAUAUUAAAGUUGUUGCAGUUAAAAAGCUCGUAGUUGGAUUUCUGGUGGGAGCGAUCGGUCUGGCGCUUAGCGCGAGUACUUGCAUCGUCUCCGGCCAUCCUUGGGGAGAGUCUGUCUGGCAUUAGGUUGUCGGGCAGAGGAUCCUCAUCGUUUACUGUGAAAAAAUUAGAGUGUUCAAAGCAGGCUUAUGCCGUUGAAUAUAUUAGCAUGGAAUAAUAAGAUAGGACUUUGGUACUAUUUUGUUGGUUUGCGCACCAAAGUAAUGACUAAUAGGGACAGUUGGGGGUAUUCGUAUUCCGUUGUCAGAGGUGAAAUUCUUGGAUUUACGGAAGACGAACUACUGCGAAAGCAUUUACCAAGGAUGUUUUCAUUAA
RNAcentral lists this ribosomal RNA (383 nucleotides) under uncultured eukaryote. Its description in RNAcentral is "partial 18S ribosomal RNA". It matches the Rfam family "Eukaryotic small subunit ribosomal RNA", at positions 592 to 976 of the family's 1831-position model. The record is from RNAcentral.